AACGUAGGAGACGAGCGUUAUCCGGAUUUACUGGGCGUAAAGCGCGUGCAGGCGGUUAGAUAAGUCACUUGUGAAAGCGCCCGGCUCAACUGGGCGAGGUCGUGUGAGACUGUCUGACUUGAGAGAGGUAGAGGCGAAUGGAAUUCCGGGUGGAGUGGUGAAAUGCGUAGAGAUCCGGAGGAACACCAGUGGCGAAGGCGAUUCGCUGGGCCUACUCUGACGCUCAGACGCGAUAGCAUGGGGAGCGAACGGG
This 253-nucleotide ribosomal RNA is filed under the name uncultured bacterium. RNAcentral describes it as "partial 16S ribosomal RNA". It matches the Rfam family "Bacterial small subunit ribosomal RNA", at positions 524 to 776 of the family's 1533-position model. The record is from RNAcentral.